UGGUUAAAAUAAAUUUUAGAAUGAAGAGUUUGAUCCUGGCUCAGGAUGAACGCUGGUGGUAUGCUUAACACAUGCAAGUUGAACGAUGGCUUUUCGAAGUCAUAGUAGCGGACGGGUGAGUAACGCGUAAGUUAUCAACGCUUGGGUGAGGGAUAACAAAUGGAAACGUUUGCUAAUACCCCGUAAUACUGAAAAGUUAAAGUAUGAAUAAUACUCCCGAGUACGAGCUUGCGUCUGAUUAGCUUGUUGGUGGGGUAAAGGCUUACCAAGGCUACGAUCAGUAGCUGGUUUGAGAAAACGAUCAGCCACACUGGAACUGAGACACGGAACAGACUCCUACGGGAGGCAGCAGUGGGGAAUAUUUCGCAAUGGGCGAAAGCCUGACGAAGCAAUACCACGUGGAGGAUGAAGGCCUUUGGGUUGUAAACUCCUUUUCUCAUUGAAGAAGAUCUGACGGUAUUUGAGGAAUAAGCAUCGGCUAAUUCUGUGCCAGCAGCCGCGGUAAUACAGAAGAUGCAAGCGUUAUCUGGAAUUAUUGGGCGUAAAGCGUUCUGUAGAUGGUUUUUUAAGUUUAAUGUUAAAGAUCGAGGCUCAACCUUGAAAUGGCAUUGAAAACUGAGAGACUUGAGUACGAUAGGGGUAGAGGGAAUUUCCAGUGUAGCGGUGAAAUGCGUAGAUAUUGGAAAGAACACCAACGGCGAAAGCACUCUACUAGGUUGAUACUGACAUUGAGAGACGAAAGCUAGGUUAAUCAACAGGAUUAGAUACCCUGGUAGUCCUAGCCGUAAACGAUGGACACUAAGUGGUGCUUUUUGUGCUGCUGUAGCUAACGCGUUAAGUGUCCCGCCUGGGGAGUACGCUUGCAAAAGUGAAACUCAAAGGAAUUGACGGGGGCCCGCACAAGCGGUGGAGCAUGUGGUUUAAUUCGAUGGUACCCGAAGAACCUUACCAGGGCUUGACAUGCUAAGAAGUUUCUUGAAAUAGAGAUGUGCCUUAGGGAACUUAGACACAGGUGGUGCAUGGCUGUCGUCAGCUCGUGUCGUGAGAUGUUGGGUUAAGUCCCGCAACGAGCGCAACCCUUUUCUUUAAUUGUUUUUUUAGAGAUACUGCCGAUGAUAAAUCGGAGGAAGGUGAGGAUGACGUCAAGUCAGCAUGCCCCUUAUGCCCUGGGCUACACACGUGCUACAAUGGUUAAGACAAUAAGUUGCAAAUUCGCGAGGGUGAGCUAAUCUUCAAACUUAAUCUCAGUUCGGAUUGUAGGCUGCAACUCGCCUACAUGAAGUCGGAAUCGCUAGUAAUCGCCGGUCAGCUAUACGGCGGUGAAUCCGUUCCCGGGCCUUGUACACACCGCCCGUCACACCAUGGAAGCUGGUCAGACCUGAAGUUGUUUUCUUAACGUAAGAUGGAGAUUACUAAGGUUGGGUUGGUAACUGGGGUGAAGUCGUAACAAGGUAGCCGUACUGGAAGGUGCGGCUGGAACAACUCCA
This 1487-nucleotide ribosomal RNA is filed under the name Flexiglena variabilis. RNAcentral describes it as "bacterial SSU rRNA". It matches the Rfam family "Bacterial small subunit ribosomal RNA". Lineage: Eukaryota; Euglenozoa; Euglenophyceae; Euglenales; Phacaceae. The record is from RNAcentral.